UUUUAGCCCCGAUAGCAGUAAAAAUCCUUGUGAGCCGGGGUUCGGCUCACAAGAUUGAAACGGAAAGCGGGACGAUAC
This 78-nucleotide small RNA is filed under the name Flavobacterium sp. 1. RNAcentral's name for it is "Flavo-1 RNA". It matches the Rfam family "Flavo-1 RNA". Lineage: Bacteria; Pseudomonadati; Bacteroidota; Flavobacteriia; Flavobacteriales; Flavobacteriaceae. The record is from RNAcentral.